Molecule: ribosomal RNA, 500 nt
Filed under: uncultured bacterium
Lineage: Bacteria
Description: partial 16S ribosomal RNA
Rfam family: Bacterial small subunit ribosomal RNA
Source: RNAcentral
AUUGAACGCUGGCGGCAGGCUUAACACAUGCAAGUCGAGCGGGGAAAGGUAGCUUGCUACUUAACCUAGCGGCGGACGGGUGAGUAAUGCUUAGGAAUCUGCCUAUUAGUGGGGGACAACAUCUCGAUAGGGAUGCUAAUACCGCAUACGUCCUACGGGAGAAAGCAGGGGACCUUCGGGCCUUGCGCUAAUAGAUGAGCCUAAGUCGGAUUAGCUAGUUGGUGGGGUAAAGGCCUACCAAGGCGACGAUCUGUAGCGGGCUGAGAGGAUGAUCCGCCACACUGGGACUGAGACACGGCCCAGACUCCUACGGGAGGCAGCAGUGGGGAAUAUUGGACAAUGGGGGGAACCCUGAUCCAGCCAUGCCGCGUGUGUGAAGAAGGCCUUUUGGUUGUAAAGCACUUUAAGCGAGGAGGGGGCUACCGAGAUUAAUACUCUUGGAUAGUGGACGUUACUCGCAGAAUAAGCACCGGCUAACUCUGUGCCAGCAGCCGCCGUAA